This 65-nucleotide transfer RNA is filed under the name Amitermes sp. QLD_001. RNAcentral describes it as "tRNA-Glu". It matches the Rfam family "tRNA". Rfam says of the family: Transfer RNA (tRNA) molecules are approximately 80 nucleotides in length. Their secondary structure includes four short double-helical elements and three loops (D, anti-codon, and T loops). The record is from RNAcentral. Lineage: Eukaryota; Metazoa; Arthropoda; Insecta; Blattodea; Termitidae.
AUUUAUAUAGUUUAGACCAAAACAUUACACUUUCACUGUAAAGAUAAAGAAAACUUUUAUAAAUA